UACGGAAGGUGCGAGCGUUAAUCGGAAUUACUGGGCGUAAAGCGCGCGUAGGCGGCUUGGUAAGUCGGAUGUGAAAGCCCCGGGCUCAACCUGGGAACUGCAUUCGAUACUGCUGAGCUGGAGUACGAAAGAGGGGGGUGGAAUUCCAGGUGUAGCGGUGAAAUGCGUAGAGAUCUGGAGGAACACCAGUGGCGAAGGCAGCCCCCUGGGUCGACACUGACGCUCAUGCACGAAAGCGUGGGGAGCAAACAGG
This 253-nucleotide ribosomal RNA is filed under the name uncultured bacterium. RNAcentral's name for it is "partial 16S ribosomal RNA". It matches the Rfam family "Bacterial small subunit ribosomal RNA", at positions 524 to 776 of the family's 1533-position model. The record is from RNAcentral.